This is a non-coding RNA of 230 nucleotides. It matches the Rfam family "T-box leader". From Rfam's summary of the family: Uncharged tRNA acts as the effector for transcription antitermination of genes in the T-box leader family. T-boxes are found upstream of many aminoacyl-tRNA synthetase genes and some amino acid biosynthetic genes usually in Gram-positive bacteria.
UAAAAUGCAAUGAAAAAGAAGAGUAUAUGACAACUUAUUUUAAAGAGAGUUCUUCAUUUGCUGAGAGAAGAAUAUUUAAGAUCAUAGAAAGAAGCUUUGGAGUAUAAGAUUGAAAUUAUUUUAUAAGUAGUAAAUCUUAGGUAGAAUCUCACCUUAUAGAGAUAUUAAGAGAGCUAAAAAUUUAGCUAAAUUAGGUGGUACCGCGUGAAGUUAGUCUUUUCGUCCUAAAU